RNAcentral lists this ribosomal RNA (406 nucleotides) under uncultured bacterium. RNAcentral describes it as "partial 16S ribosomal RNA". It matches the Rfam family "Bacterial small subunit ribosomal RNA", at positions 29 to 526 of the family's 1533-position model. The record is from RNAcentral.
AUUGAACGCUGGCGGCAGGCCUAACACAUGCAAGUCGAACGAGUGGCGGACGGGUGGGUAAUGUAUGGGAAUCUGCCUGAUGGAGGGGGAUAGCUACUGGGAGCGGUAGCUAAUACCGCAUACCAUCAGAUGUGCCCAGAUGGGAUUAGCUCGUGGGUGGGGUAACGGCUCACCAAGGCGACGAUCCCGAGCUGGUCGGAGAGGAUGACCAGCCAAACGGGAACUGAGACACGGGCCAGACUCCUACGGGAGGCAGCAGUGGGGAAUAUUGCACAAUGGGCGCAAGCCUGAUGCAGCCAUGCCGCGUGUAUGAAGAAGGCCUUCGGGUUGUAAAGUACUUUUAGCGGGGAGGCGGUACCCGCAGAAGAAGCACCGGCUAACUCCGUGCCAGCAGCCGCGGUAAUUC